This 403-nucleotide ribosomal RNA is filed under the name uncultured bacterium. RNAcentral describes it as "partial 16S ribosomal RNA". It matches the Rfam family "Bacterial small subunit ribosomal RNA", at positions 30 to 526 of the family's 1533-position model. The record is from RNAcentral.
AUUGAACGCUGGCGGCAGGCCUAACACAUGCAAGUCGAGCGAGCGGCGGACGGGUGCGUAAUGUAUGGGGACUGCCCGAUAGAGGGGGAUAACUACUGGAAACGGUAGCUAAUACCGCAUACUAUCGGAUAACCCAUAUGGGAUUAGCUAGUAGGUGAGGUAAUGGCUCACCUAGUCGACGAUCCCUAGCUGGUCUGCGAGGAUGAUCAGCCACACUGGUACUGAGACACGGCCCAUACUCCGACGGCGGCAGCAGUGGGGAAGAUUGAACAAUGGGCGCAAGCCGGAUGAAGCCAUGCCGCGUGUAUGAAGAAGGCCCUAGGGUUGUAAAGUACUUUCAGUCGGAAGGCGUUACCGACAGAAGAAGCACCGGCUAACUCCGUGCCAGCAGCCGCGGUAAUAC